This is a long non-coding RNA of Bolinopsis microptera, 487 nucleotides long. RefSeq lists it as uncharacterized. The record is from RefSeq and is a predicted model, not a curated record. The transcript has 3 exons. NCBI's taxonomy places the organism in Eukaryota, Metazoa, Ctenophora, Tentaculata, Lobata, Bolinopsidae.
CUUGAUGAUCUGUGAAAUAGAUUUAGGAGUGGGACUGGGGAUUCUAAUUUAUUGAUUUUGAACAUUUCCAAUAAACAUGUGUGUUUGAACAAACUGUGUAUGGUCAAUUCUGCUAGAGUCCAAGUUUCUAUCAAAGAUUUGGAAGAUGGGUAACUACACUUGGGGAGACUGUCAAGGAUGUCAGAGAGUUCAGAUAGUGCAACAUUGACAUUACCACUUGGAGGACGGUACAUUACACCAACUGUUACUGGGGAAGUUGUACUACUUACGGCCACAAAAAGAGUUUCUAAAUGUUCAGUGAUAUGGGAUACAUUGCCGUUUACUCUGGCACUAAGAGUGUCACAAACAUAGAGAGCCACUCCAGUGCCCUUUUUUUUAUCUGGUAUUGUGUUUUGGUAGAAACUGUUGUAUCCAGUUAAUUGAUACAAACUGCUGGAUUCAGGACCUUCAUUUGUUUCCGCUAAGGCUAUGAUCGAGAAUUUCUUGG